Molecule: ribosomal RNA, 692 nt
Filed under: uncultured Lachnospiraceae bacterium
Lineage: Bacteria; Bacillati; Bacillota; Clostridia; Lachnospirales; Lachnospiraceae
Description: bacterial SSU rRNA
Rfam family: Bacterial small subunit ribosomal RNA
Source: RNAcentral
GAUGAACGCUGGCGGCGUGCCUAACACAUGCAAGUCGAACGAAGCGAUUUAACGGAAGUUUUCGGAUGGAAGUUGAAUUGACUGAGUGGCGGACGGGUGAGUAACGCGUGGGUAACCUGCCUUGUACUGGGGGACAACAGUUAGAAAUGACUGCUAAUACCGCAUAAGCGCACAGUAUCGCAUGAUACAGUGUGAAAAACUCCGGUGGUACAAGAUGGACCCGCGUCUGAUUAGCUAGUUGGUAAGGUAACGGCUUACCAAGGCGACGAUCAGUAGCCGACCUGAGAGGGUGACCGGCCACAUUGGGACUGAGACACGGCCCAAACUCCUACGGGAGGCAGCAGUGGGGAAUAUUGCACAAUGGGCGAAAGCCUGAUGCAGCGACGCCGCGUGAGUGAAGAAGUAUUUCGGUAUGUAAAGCUCUAUCAGCAGGGAAGAAAAUGACGGUACCUGACUAAGAAGCCCCGGCUAACUACGUGCCAGCAGCCGCGGUAAUACGUAGGGGGCAAGCGUUAUCCGGAUUUACUGGGUGUAAAGGGAGCGUAGACGGUAAAGCAAGUCUGAAGUGAAAGCCCGCGGCUCAACUGCGGGACUGCUUUGGAAACUGUUUAACUGGAGUGUCGGAGAGGUAAGUGGAAUUCCUAGUGUAGCGGUGAAAUGCGUAGAUAUUAGGAGGAACACCAGUGGCGAAG